Molecule: unclassified non-coding RNA, 422 nt
Filed under: soil metagenome
Description: partial contains 5.8S ribosomal RNA, internal transcribed spacer 2, and large subunit ribosomal RNA
Rfam family: 5.8S ribosomal RNA (bases 1-120)
Source: RNAcentral
GAUGAAGAACGCAGCGAAAUGCGAUAAGUAAUGUGAAUUGCAGAUUUCAGUGAAUCAUCGAAUCUUUGAACGCACCUUGCGCCUUGUGGUAUUCCACAAGGCAUGCCCGUUUGAGUAUCAUUAAAUCAUCAACUCUAAAACCUUUGUGGUUUUUUUAGAGCUUGGUCUUGAGGGUUUUGCAGGCUUUUUUUUUUUCGAGUCUGCUCCCUUUAAAUGCAUUAGCGAGACUUCCCUAUGCUGAACCGUCUCUUUGACGUGAUAAUUAUCUGCGUCGAAUUUUGGUUCUCGUUGGGCUUGCUUCUAAUCGUCUGCUAAAGACAAAACGGAUUUGGGUGCAUAUAUGCGCCUUUUUCCAAAACCUUUUUUGAUCUCAAAUCGGGUAGGACUACCCGCUGAACUUAAGCAUAUCAAUAAGCGGAGGA